AAACCAAACCACUACCCAAUUGAUUGAAGAAUAUUAAUGAUGUUGUUGAUUGAAGAAUAUUAAUGAUGUUGUCUACCAAUUAUAUUGUGAGGUGAACAACCAAUGUCUUAGGCCUAUAAAUAGAUACCUCCAUCAAGAGAAGUUUACACAUAUAGAAGAGGAAGAGAAGGAAGAAUGAGGGUGAGUGAGUUGAGAGGAAAGAGAGCAAGAGAGAAAUUCUCCAAAAGAGAAAAUUGAGUGAGCCAUACAUAUUGUAAACACUAAAGUUGUAGCCCUAUUAUUUUACAUAGUGGAAAAGUUACUGCUGCUGCUCUCCGGGGACGUAGGCAUAGCCGAACCUCGUUAAAUACUGUGUCUCAUCUACUUUACGUGCAGCUCAAUAUUCGCACAUAUCCCAGUUAAUUUACAACACGUUAUCAGCACGAAAAGCUCUCAGGUAUAAUUUUUGUGCUGCACCAUUAUUUAUACUACUAACCAUUGUAUAAUAUAUAUAUAUAUAUGAAAAGUUGAUGGUAAUAUAAUAUGCUAUAUCUAUUCACUUUUCUAUUACUAACCACUAACAAAAAUGGACCCUUGGUAAUACUAAACAUAUUAUCAGUGGGAGACCGUUACUAAUACUAACAUUUUUCUUAUUUUAUUCGGUGGUGGUUUUAACCCUUUAUUUAUUUUAAUUACUGUAUGGUGUAGUUUUAUUACCCAUACGACAAUAUUUAUUUAAAAGGGUGGCGCGGGUUUAUCGUCCACGCCUUUCUUUUUAUUUAAAAGUAUGAUGUGGAAUUAACCCUCAUACUUUAUGAAUUUACUUUACCGCACAUUUAAUUUUAUUUAAGAUAUGGUGCGGAAUUAACGUCCAUAUAGCAAGCAAUUUAUUUUAUCGCACAUUUACUUUUACUUAAAGUAUGAUGAGGAAUUAACCCUCAUACUUUAUGAAUUUACUUUACCGCACAUUUACUUUUAUUUAACGUAUAGUGUGGGUUUAUCGUCCAUACAAGCAAUUCAUUUACCAAUAAUUUAAUUUACAAGCAAUUUAUUUUAUGGAUUAAUUGUGUGGUAUGAUGAGUUUUUUUUUACAAAGAUACAGAUCAGGACCAGAAGUUCCUUGAUCCUCAUCAUACAAUUACAUCAGGACUUGAAGAUCUUUGAUGAUGAUGUUAAUAUGAGAGCUGACAGUCUCUCCGGUACUAUAUUUGUAAACAUGUGAUUGGACUUGAGGGUCCUUGAUCCCUGACAUGUAAAUAAGGACCUAGGGUUCCUUAAUAAUGUACCAGUACCGUAUUGGUUAAUAGUGUCAUACACAUGAAAAUAAUUGUAUUGGCAAAUGUACUGUACACAUGAAUAGUGCCGUAUACAUAAAUAGUGAUGUAUGCAUUUUGGGUAAACUAUCACUAUUCAAAAGGGAACCUGCUUAAACUCAUGGAUGAGCAAUUAAAUGAGAUGCCAGAAGUUCCUCAAGAUAUAGACAAUUAUGUAAGGGCUUGAAGUCCAGAAAUAUAUACAGAAAAUUGUAAAAAUGUCCAUACCAUGAGAAUAUGUGAUUUUGGCUUGAGGUUCAAAAUCUAACAGUGUUGAGAACCUGAAGUUCCAACAAUUAAAUGAACAACCCUUGAGGUAUUAUUGCAAAUUGUGGUACGCCACAUAUUUCUUUGGCAUAAGAGAAUGAUGAAUUGAGGCUCCCCACAUAUUUUGUUAUAUCUGGGCCGGAAGCUCAUGAACCCAAUUAUAUUGCGAUAUUAUCGUGGCUUUUACUCAAUUCAUAUUUCAUGUUCAUUAGAAAAAGGGCGAAUAAAUUCUGAGUUUUGUGUUUAGCCCAGGCCAAAAGUUCCGGACUCCCAUACGUUGAAAUAUGAAAUUUGGGAGAGUCAAUGUGGUUAUUUGAAUCUAUAAGGCACAAGGUUCCAAACCGUCAUUUUGAAAAGACGUAAAAAACCACAGGUGCAAGUUUAAGAAUGUGCGCAAUUAUUAUUACAGGAACAUACAACAGAUAAAUUUUUUCCACCUGCAAUGAAGGUGCAGGCCCUGUAAAAUCUAUAAAAAUACAUUAUGUUCUGGAAGCCUCUGAAGGAAGAGGACGAUGCCUCUUAAGCUUAGCCAUGAGCCUCUCGUGGUCUCCCAAAAUUCUUUCAUUGGAGACCUGCAGCAUGUCUAGCCUUCUCAGUGUAUCAACUGAGUACGAACUCACCAGUUUCAACAAGGCAUUAUUCUCUCCUUUAAGUUUCUCAACCUCCUGUUGAGACUCAUGAAGCAUUCUUUGAAGAGACGAAUUUUCAGUUGUUAGCCUCUCAACCUCGUUUGCUCUAGCACGCAAACGAUCAGCCAUGUUAGAAACAGAAGCAGCACUCUGAAUGCUAAAAGCCAUUGAGUCAUCAAUAGCCUCUUCCUCAGAUCUCCCUGUCAACAACAUUUCAUCCAUUGGAAUAAUGAAAUUCCUAGCUACUAUGACAGCAGUAGCAUCAUUCAUCAUCACAGAAUUAUUAACUGUGAGAUGACGAUUUUGGGAUACAAAGGAUGGACGCCAAACUUUGGCAUCAUUGGUAGUUGUGGGAGCAUAAUUUAAAUUGAAAUAAUUUGGGCAGGAAGAAGAGGAAGCCAUUUUAAGAAGGUUUCGAAGAAAGUCUUAGAAAAACUAAAGUUUCAGAAAAUGAAGGAAGUUGAGUUGAAACGCAGUUGCGCCAAUCAAGUCUUGCAAAGGCAAUAUCUAUAGGAGGAAAUAUGGCUACAGUUUUCAGGAUCCCAAUAUUAUCUCAGAUCCCCAUAUUCUCUUUUUCUUUUCCAGAUUCCAAAACUUCAAGCGGCCUCCAUUAAUGUUUGUCGGCACUUUCGGCGUUUUCAAGUAUUAUUUUCGUCAAAGCCGAUCUUGCUUUGCGGAUUUCACGGAGCUACUUUUUCAAAAGUGCCCCGAGAAUCUCGCAAUUUUCCUAUGGUUAAUUUGAAAUUCACCGGUUCUACCUAUUCCUCUUAUUUGUGUAUAAAUGUGUUACUAACGAAAUUUUCUUUGCAGAAGACAUCCAGUUUUCUCCAUACCUAGUGAUGCGAUAUCUACUUAUUUUUCUUAUCAGUGAGCACUCAAUAUGCCCGAGAAGCAAGACUAUCUCUGAUCAUCCAUUCAGGAAGCGAGACUAUCCCUGAUCACGUUUCCGCCACAUCAGGGAACUGUGAAGGCGACCUUAUGCUCUAAUCUCCGGAAGUUCUUCUAGACUAGGAGAAAUGAGAGCUUGUUGUUUGCUCCGACCAGCUUCCUUCCUUGAUUGCUGAGCUUGUUGUCUGCUCCCACCAGCUUCCUUCCCUGAUUGCUUACCUUACCUUGCAAUCAAUAUCACAUUUUUUUUGCAUUUUUUCUCUUUUUGUAACUCUCUGUUCAUAAGAGACUUUAUUUCUUUAGAAUGAACAUCUGAAGAAAGAGUCCAUGAAGUGAUCCUAACUCUGAGGGUUAUUUGUUUUGACAGAGGCAAAAGAGUUGUGAUUUUUGCUCUUGCAUGAUAUAACUAGAUCAUCAAGCGCUACAUUAUAUUUACUGGGCCGAUACGAGCUUGAAUGAUACUUGAGAAAAGUUUCUCCCACCUAAGGAUGUAAGCAAUACUUGUGUUGUUUUAUGCUUAUAUACUUAUUUGAUAUUUUAUCUUGAAAGGUAACCAAAUGGGGAGAUAAGUCCGUUCCAAAAGAAUGGCUUGUAUGUAUCCAUAAAUUAUAACGCAAAUUUUACAGAUUGUAAGUUGGAUACAUUGAUAAUACACUGCACAGAUUAAAGUCUCAUAAGAACAGAAUAUGGGUAUAGCAGUGAUCAAUAUGAUGCAAGCCUGUUGCGUAGCAAAUGAUGUGGAUUGAAGUCCCGAAAGGACAAUCCUUUGACACGUCAAUAUUGAUAUUGUGCACGCCUAAUGCGUAGCAAAUUGUACGGGUUAAAGUCCCAGAAAUUAAUUGACAUGUAUGUAUUAAUCUGUGGCAUGCCUGCAGCAUGACAGAUAUAUGGGUUCUAAAUGUUCCAACUCCUUAAAUAGAGAUUAUCCACGCCCUACUGUAAAAUAACGCUCCAUUGGAGGUUAUAAUCCACAUUCUCACAUAAUAAAAGCCCCAUGAAGUGGCUUGGGUACCCAAAAGCAAAGAAAUGCUUAUAAUUGAUGCAUGCACAUGCAAAUGAGAAUGGUGAGAUCAUGAAUUGAUGAAUGACAAUUUUUGGUUUUAGAGUAGCUACUCAAAUCAUCAAUGGGCUGUGUUAAUUGGAACCACGUUCAAUUAUUAAAUGUCGACAAUAUCAUUGGCCAAAAUGGAAUGAGGUAAUUCCAUUAUAGAUGAGAAUGAACGUGAAAGAACAAACCCACAGUACGAACCCCAAAAGAUGUUAAUAUUGAAAGUUAUACUUGGGUGUUCGGAAUAGAAGGGAAUAUACCUACUUUGUAUGACACAAUAUUUUUGGCAUAAAUAAGGAACGUUGGAUUUUCUCCAUAUUUAUAGAUUCAAUUGUGCCCCUUUAUUGCACAUUUACGGAGACCAACAUAUUAUCUUUAAGGGGUAUUAAAUGCACAGAGCAUAUUGCUAGAAGCGAUUCCCUAAAGAUGUAUAAAUAGCUGGAUUAAAGCUAUAUAAUGGGUCAUAAAGUUUAAUCCCUUUAAACAAAAUCCUUGAAAGGAUUGAAAUUGCAUGAAGCAAGUCCCUGAAGGACAUGUGCCUGAAGCACAAAAUCUGUACUCAAUACAAAUGUGCAUAAAUUGUCUCAGUGAGUACAUGGAUUAUAAUGUGUUUGCAACACAUUAAAGCUUCUGAAGAGUUCAAGAAAUAUUUGUCUCGACUUAAGGAUCGAGCAUUAUGCCAACGAGAUUCUUGCUUAUACUAAGAAAGUAUUGAAGCAUUUUUAUGAGGAUUAUCCGUUGGACACUUUAAUGAUUUUCCGGAAGUAUAUUGGACCGGACAUCAUAUUUUUCAGAUAGGGCUCAACUCCAUCACCAUCAUUUUGGGAUGAUGUGAGGUAUAUUUGAUGCUAUCUCCGCAUAACACCAUGUACGGGCAUAUUCUUUCAAGUGAACUUACAAAUAGCCCAAGUUUUGUUAGAAACGCGGACUCUGAAAAUUUCUAUGAUUUACAUAGAGAUAGCUCACUGGAAAUAUAUUUACUUACUCAACUACGAGAAUUAUUAAUGGCUAUAUCCUCCACUCACUCCGAAAGAUUCUCACUCCAAAAGAUAGUCAUGAAGACAUCAGGGGGAGAUAUUAAUCAGGGGGAGCAUCCAGAAGUAUGCUAUACAGAUUGCUGUACUCUUUUUUCUUCCUUCCAUCAGUUUUCUACCUCACUGGAUUUUUCUCCAAGCAAGAUUUUAAUGAGGCAACCAAUCUAGGGACAUGUGGUCUCCAAGGGGGAGUGUUGUAAAGAAGAAUAAGUAAAGAAGAAUAGGUGAAGCCCACAUAGCCAACUAACACCCACCAAACCUAACCACACACCCACCAAACCAAACCACUACCCAAUUGAUUGAAGAAUAUUAAUGAUGUUGUUGAUUGAAGAAUAUUAAUGAUGUUGUCUACCAAUUAUAUUGUGAGGUGAACAACCAAUGUCUUAGGCCUAUAAAUAGAUACCUCCAUCAAGAGAAGUUUAC
This 5581-nucleotide long non-coding RNA is filed under the name Prunus persica (peach). RNAcentral describes it as "long non-coding RNA (PPER_LNC003023)". The record is from RNAcentral. Lineage: Eukaryota; Viridiplantae; Streptophyta; Magnoliopsida; Rosales; Rosaceae.